This 77-nucleotide transfer RNA is filed under the name Olavius algarvensis Delta 1 endosymbiont. Its description in RNAcentral is "tRNA-Arg-TCG". It matches the Rfam family "tRNA". From Rfam's summary of the family: Transfer RNA (tRNA) molecules are approximately 80 nucleotides in length. Their secondary structure includes four short double-helical elements and three loops (D, anti-codon, and T loops). Further hydrogen bonds mediate the characteristic L-shaped molecular structure. tRNAs have two regions of fundamental functional importance: the anti-codon, which is responsible for specific mRNA codon recognition, and the 3' end, to which the tRNAs corresponding amino acid is attached (by aminoacyl-tRNA synthetases). tRNAs cope with the degeneracy of the genetic code in two manners: having more than one tRNA (with a specific anti-codon) for a particular amino acid; and 'wobble' base-pairing, i.e. permitting non-standard base-pairing at the 3rd anti-codon position. Lineage: Bacteria; Deltaproteobacteria. The record is from RNAcentral. RNAcentral also lists the same sequence under 17 other names.
GCGCCCGUAGCUCAGCUGGAUAGAGCGCCGGACUUCGAAUCCGUAGGCCGCAGGUUCGAAUCCUGCCGGGCGUACCA